RNAcentral lists this small RNA (543 nucleotides) under Pan troglodytes (chimpanzee). Its description in RNAcentral is "processed transcript". Lineage: Eukaryota; Metazoa; Chordata; Mammalia; Primates; Hominidae. The record is from RNAcentral.
AGACUACACUCAAGCCAGCUGAAAAGCCUGUGCCUUUCAUCAGUGUGCCUGAAGACCCCCUUUUAUUGCUAAAUGCACGUGAUAUUUAGUUUAGGAUCACAGUAAGUGUUCAUUAUGCUGACAUAUCUUUUCAUGUUGGCCUGGCUGGGAGUCACGGCUUUCACCUCACUGCCAGUUUACAUGUACUUCAAUCUGUGGACCAUCUGCCGGAACACCACAUUAGUGGAGGGAGCAAAUCUCUGCUUGGACCUUCGUCAGUUUGGAAUUGUGACAAUUGGAGAGGAAAAGAAAAUUUGUACUGUCUCUGAGAAUUUCUUGAGGAUGUGCGAAUCUACUGAGCUGAACAUGACCUUCCACUUGUUUAUUGUGGCACUUGCUGGAGCUGGGGCAGCAGUCAUUGCUAUGGUUCACUACCUUAUGGUUCUGUCUGCCAACUGGGCCUAUGUGAAAGACGCCUGCCGGAUGCAGAAGUAUGAAGACAUCAAGUCGAAGGAAGAGCAAGAGCUUCAUGACAUCCACUCUACUCGCUCCAAAGAGCGGCUC